Molecule: small RNA, 181 nt
Organism: Exophiala oligosperma
Lineage: Eukaryota; Fungi; Ascomycota; Eurotiomycetes; Chaetothyriales; Herpotrichiellaceae
Rfam family: A. fumigatus sRNA Afu_182
Source: Rfam
AAUUGAACAACGCAAAUCCACGUCCAAUCUAAAAGCACUUCUUACGAGGUCACCUAAUGGUUGCCCAUGAUGUACAGAAUUCGUCUAUUGGAACGGAGAACAACCAAUUUGGCUGAUCUUGGGUGCAGUGUCAGUCGCGUCCUUCUGGAUAUGACUGGGAUUGCAAUGAUCGACCAUACAG